This 496-nucleotide ribosomal RNA is filed under the name uncultured bacterium. Its description in RNAcentral is "partial 16S ribosomal RNA". It matches the Rfam family "Bacterial small subunit ribosomal RNA", at positions 30 to 507 of the family's 1533-position model. The record is from RNAcentral.
AUGAACGCUGGCGGCGUGCCUCAUACAUGCCAGUCGAGCGAACAGAUGAGGAGCUUGCUCCUCUGACGUUAGCGGCGGACGGGUGAGUAACACGUGGAUAACCUACCUAUAAGACUGGGAUAACUUCGGGAAACCGGAGCUAAUACCGGAUAAUAUAUUGAACCGCAUGGUUCAAUAGUGAAAGACGGUUUUGCUGUCACUUAUAGAUGGAUCCGCGCCGCAUUAGCUAGUUGGUAAGGUAACGGCUUACCAAGGCAACGAUGCGUAGCCGACCUGAGAGGGGGAUGGGGCAGACGGGAACUGAGACACGGUACAGACUACAACGGGAGGAAGCAGUAGGGAAUGUUAAGGAAUGGGCGAAAGCCGGACGGAGCAACGCCGCGGGAGUGAAGAAGGUAGUCGGAUCGUAAAAAGCUGUUAUUAGGGAAGAACAAAAGUGUAAGUAACUAUGCACGUCGUGACGGAACCUAAUCAGAAAGCCAAGGCUAACUACGUG